RNAcentral lists this ribosomal RNA (157 nucleotides) under Graphiopsis chlorocephala. Its description in RNAcentral is "5.8S ribosomal RNA". The stretch from base 61 to 157 matches the Rfam family "5.8S ribosomal RNA", at positions 1 to 97 of the family's 154-position model. Rfam says of the family: 5.8S ribosomal RNA (5.8S rRNA) is a component of the large subunit of the eukaryotic ribosome. It is transcribed by RNA polymerase I as part of the 45S precursor that also contains 18S and 28S rRNA. The record is from RNAcentral. Lineage: Eukaryota; Fungi; Ascomycota; Dothideomycetes; Cladosporiales; Cladosporiaceae.
GGACAUUACCAAAACUCUUGCGUAUCUUUGUCGUCUGAGUGAUUAUAUCAAUCAAAUUAAAACUUUCAACAACGGAUCUCUUGGUUCUGGCAUCGAUGAAGAACGCAGCGAAAUGCGAUAAGUAAUGUGAAUUGCAGAAUUCAGUGAAUCAUCGAAU